UACAGGGGGGGCAAGCGUUGUUCGGAAUUACUGGGCGUAAAGGGCUCGUAGGCGGCCAACUAAGUCCGACGUGAAAUCCCCAGGCUUAACCUGGGAACUGCGUCGGAUACUGGAUGGCUUGAAUUCGGGAGAGGGAUGCAGAAUUCCAGGUGUAGCGGUGAAAUGCGUAGAUAUCUGGAGGAAUACCGGUGGCGAAGGCGGCAUCCUGGACCGACAUUGACGCUGAUGAGCGAAAGCUAGGGGGAGCAAACGGG
Molecule: ribosomal RNA, 254 nt
Filed under: uncultured bacterium
Lineage: Bacteria
Description: partial 16S ribosomal RNA
Rfam family: Bacterial small subunit ribosomal RNA
Source: RNAcentral